UCUUCAUUCCACGUACUAUCUCACCGGUCAGAGAUGCGAGAGAGUGUGCGAAAUGAAGAGA
Molecule: non-coding RNA, 61 nt
Organism: Pristionchus pacificus
Lineage: Eukaryota; Metazoa; Nematoda; Chromadorea; Rhabditida; Neodiplogasteridae
Source: Rfam